Molecule: RNA transcript, 1932 nt
Organism: Drosophila biarmipes
Lineage: Eukaryota; Metazoa; Arthropoda; Insecta; Diptera; Drosophilidae
Gene: B9d2
Gene name: B9 domain-containing protein 2
Exons: 4
Source: RefSeq, a predicted model, not a curated record
CAGCACCCGCCCUGUUUUUCAGUUACUUUGACAACAGACAACUACCAAAACAACGAACAACACACGGCAAACUGCCCGACGCUCAAGAGAACAUACGAGAAAUGAAAACUAACAAAUUAUAAAGAAUGAAAAGUAAAAAUUAAUGGCGGAAGUGCACAUAAUUGGACAAAUAUUGAAAGCAGCUCACUUUGCCGAGCCACACCUAUAUUGCAAGUGGAGUCUCCAGAGUGGAGACGCCUGGCGUCUGGUUCAGGGCGAGGCGCAGGGCCAGAGCCACCUUGCGGGCCACCGGCUGCAAAACUGCGCGGACUUCGCCCAGUCCCUAGACAUACACCUGAACGCUACCUCCGUUCAAGGCUGGCCACGACUGUUGGUAGAGGUGCACGCUAUCAACGUACUGCAACAAUCCUGGCCUGUCGGAUACGGCUUUGUACACAUACCUUCAACUCCCGGUACGCAUCGGCUGGAUAUAAGCACCUGGAAGGUAGCACAUAAAGGCCUGUGGCAGUCAUUACGAGAACGGUUUGGCGGCGGUGGAGCUGCACUGAGCAGGAACGAUAUCAUCUACUCGGGAGCUGAACGUUACAAGAUGGAAACCCAGAGUUCUGGAAAGGUUAUUGUUCAAUUAAACUUAAUUUUUCGGAAAUUUGAAAAAUACGGUUUAGAGUUCAAGUAGGAAUGAAAGCAUUGCUAUUUUUACCAUGCUGUGGUGAACCACAUACCACACAUAUUCAUUUAAAAUUGAAAAUUCGUUUAAGUUCAAUAAUGUAACAUCACUGACCCCGCCCACUAGCAGGAAAUCUUUUACCACUACUGUUUUUACCAGCAACGAAACGGUCAAAUUUAUCAGCUCAUUAUUGUACGCGACCAGCAUAUAGGUUUCCUCCUCGCCUAAAACGGAUGCCUAAGGAUAUAGUGACCUUUAUUUGUUUCACUGGAAUGCCAGACGGAUGCUCAACACUUGAAUGCGUCUACCGAUGCCACCAUCAAAUGUUUAUAAAUGUUGCUACUGCUCCUGCGAUCUGUAAAUGGCCAGAUUACGUGGGAGAAUACGAAGCGAAUUUUCUAUCAUGACCAACACACUACAUCUACGACAUGUACGAAAGAUUCUAUUGUCAGUCUGCCACCUGCAGCCAAAUUAGAAGCAUCUGCAAGUUUAAGAAGUCUUCCCAGCUGAGCAAGAGUAUUGGCAGCAUAUUCAAAUAAACAUUCACCUAGUGCUACCAAAGCCCGGCGAUCCGGCUAGGUCUGAUCGUUCAAAUCUGUCAGAAGGGAGAUGAUACUAUUUUACAUUGCAUGGAGCAGUGCAACGGCAUAACACUUAAUGCAAAAUAUCUGUUAGAGGAGAUAAAUGUGGAUAGCAACGAACCCCCAUGCAAGAGCACAACCCGGAGAACGGUCAUGAUAUGCAAACGCCAGUCCAAGUUGUUUAUGAAGCCAAAGGAUCCUCAGCUGUCAAGGAAAUUUCAUUAGCGUAGGCUAAGAGUACCACGAGGUUGUAACAUACUUAACUAAAGAAGCCUUGCCUCGUUCAAGGUCAACAGUUUGGAAUGGCAGAUCGACAUUAGCGGAGGCCCUUUCUCUAAGCAAAUCUGUUAUGUUUUACUACAUGCAGAAUAAAAUAAUAAAAGAUAACGUUUUUUCUUCGACCUUAAAAGAAGUGCACAUAUCCGUUAAAAAGCUUACCAAAUUAAUAGAUUAGAAUAACACAACAAAAAAAUAUUUUUAUAAAAAAAAUAAUCAAAAAAUAAAUAAAAUUCAGGUAUUUACCUGGAGCUAGGUAUAACCCAAAGAUUCCACGAAAAAUUUUAGGUCCCCAAUAGCCUAAAAUAUGGCUAAUUUUUGAGCAAAAGUUAGGGGAAUUUGCUGCUUCAAAAUAGUAUAAAUAGUACAAAAACUAUAUGUUUAAAAUAAAAAACAUUUUGACACAAA